AAACCCUGGAACAGGGUGCAGUCUGUCUGACUCGCAAAGAAUUCCCUGCCCUCUCCACCCCCACCUAAACAAAACUGAUUAAGAUGCAAUGGGAGACAUACCUAAAGCCCUCCGGAUAAGGGAGCAACUGUUCUAGGUCUGAUUUGCAUCUGAGAUCGAACCAGAUGACCAUUCAUUUACAUGGGAGAUGGAGAACAGAAAGCCUGAAG
Gavialis gangeticus (Gharial) is the source of this 209-nucleotide long non-coding RNA. RefSeq lists it as uncharacterized. The transcript is spliced from 3 exons. The record is from RefSeq and is a predicted model, not a curated record. Lineage: Eukaryota; Metazoa; Chordata; Crocodylia; Gavialidae.